AUGCUCUCGGCUAUUUGGGACUCAAGAGUCCCAAAGAAAGUAAUGAUUUUUGGCUGGUUGUUCUACCUUGACCGGUUGAACACUCGGCAGAACCUGCGCAAGAAAACUAUCCUGGACUCGGAUGUCUGUCCUCGGUGCAACAGCUCGGUGGAGGAUCGCGUUCAUCUCUUCUUCUCGUGCCCAGCUGCUCGCCGGAUCUGGCAACGGCUUGGGCUCCAGCCGCUCGCCGCGCCCAUCGAUGGUCUCUUCUCCACCACGCUCCCGUCAGCGCUGCCUGACACCGUUCGACCCUUUAUGUUGCUCCUCAUCUUGUGGAAGAUUUGGGAUGCUAGGAACAAAAAGGUCUUCCAGAACCUUGAACUCGAUGCAUCCCAAACUUUACGUGCUAUUCUAGAUGAUUUAAUUACCUGGUCUCAUCGUCUUAGGACUGAGACGUUAAAAGGAUACGCCGGUCUGUGGCGUGACUUCCUCUCCUCCUGCAACUUGUAA
This 489-nucleotide ribosomal RNA is filed under the name Triticum aestivum (bread wheat). RNAcentral describes it as "partial small subunit ribosomal RNA". Lineage: Eukaryota; Viridiplantae; Streptophyta; Magnoliopsida; Poales; Poaceae. The record is from RNAcentral.